RNAcentral lists this ribosomal RNA (253 nucleotides) under uncultured bacterium. RNAcentral's name for it is "partial 16S ribosomal RNA". It matches the Rfam family "Bacterial small subunit ribosomal RNA", at positions 524 to 776 of the family's 1533-position model. The record is from RNAcentral.
UACGUAGGGUGCGAGCGUUAAUCGGAGUUACUGGGCGUAAAGUGUGCGCAGGCGGCAGAGCAAGUCGAGUGUGAAAGCCCCGGGCUUAACUUGGGAAUUGCGCUCGAAACUACUUUGCUGGAGUGUGGCAGAGGAAGGUGGAAUUCCACGUGUAGCGGUGAAAUGCGUAGAGAUGUGGAGGAACACCAAUGGCGAAGGCAGCCUUCUGGGCCAACACUGACGCUCAUGCACGAAAGCGUGGGGAGCAAACAGG